UUUUUCUGGUGUGCUCAACAGUUUCCUAGGAUGUGUGGACAAGAUUGGCAUAGCUUUUGAAGCACCCACAAUAGCCACUGGGUUUGGUGCAUAUCUUGCUCAGCCAAUUCUUCGUGGCGCAUUUGAAAAGAAUCCCAGCAUGUCUCUAGAAGAGGCAAGGCAAGUGAUCACCAAAUGUCUGCAAGUGUUGUUUUACAGAGAUGCCAGGUCACUAAACAAGUAUGAAAUUGCAGUCAUUACAAGUGAUGGUGUUUUGAUUGAACCUGUAACCAGUGCACAAACCAAUUGGGAAAUUGCUCCAAUGGUCAAAGGCUAUGAGUAAUUCCUGGGACGUAUGGAAACCUUUCUUUGCUGACUAGUUCUGCGUAUAUUUUCGUCUUUGUCCCUGUAUGAUACAGCCUUAGAAUGUACAUGUUAAGAAAACUGAUGAUAAAAUGUCAAAACCUUUCAA
Stylophora pistillata is the source of this 451-nucleotide long non-coding RNA. The record is from RefSeq and is a predicted model, not a curated record. Lineage: Eukaryota; Metazoa; Cnidaria; Anthozoa; Scleractinia; Pocilloporidae.